AAGUCGUAACAAGGUUUCCGUAGGUGAACCUGCGGAAGGAUCAUUAUUGUAGGGACUCCGGUCCCCUCAAGAUGCAACCCGUGCCUUUUUUGUAGCCCGUAACGUUUCCUCGGCAGCCCCGCUGCCAGCGAGGACCCCCCCAAACCAAACCUGCAAUCUCAGUAAAAAAUUCAGAAACCCCCCAAAAUUCAAAACUUUCAACAAUGGAUCUCUUGGCUCUG
This 221-nucleotide unclassified non-coding RNA is filed under the name fungal sp. RNAcentral's name for it is "partial internal transcribed spacer region". The stretch from base 1 to 46 matches the Rfam family "Eukaryotic small subunit ribosomal RNA", at positions 1786 to 1831 of the family's 1831-position model. The record is from RNAcentral. Lineage: Eukaryota; Fungi.